This 71-nucleotide transfer RNA is filed under the name Ovis aries (sheep). It matches the Rfam family "tRNA". From Rfam's summary of the family: Transfer RNA (tRNA) molecules are approximately 80 nucleotides in length. Their secondary structure includes four short double-helical elements and three loops (D, anti-codon, and T loops). The record is from Rfam by way of RNAcentral. Lineage: Eukaryota; Metazoa; Chordata; Mammalia; Artiodactyla; Bovidae.
UCCCUGGUGGCUCAGCGGUAAAGAAUCUGCCUAUAAUUCAGGAGACCCGGGUUCGAUCCCUGGCUCAGGAA